RNAcentral lists this microRNA precursor (81 nucleotides) under Caenorhabditis briggsae. RNAcentral describes it as "microRNA cbr-mir-74a precursor". Its record names the gene cbr-mir-74a. It matches the Rfam family "mir-74 microRNA precursor family". Lineage: Eukaryota; Metazoa; Nematoda; Chromadorea; Rhabditida; Rhabditidae. The record is from miRBase by way of RNAcentral.
CGCACUUUUGGGCUUCCAUAUCUUUCCCAGCUCCUCUCAUUUACUAUGGAUGCUGGCAAGAAAUGGCAGUCUAGAUGUGCA